CACGUGAGUAACCUGCCCCAAACUUUGGGAUAACCCUCGGAAACGGGGGCUAAUACCGAAUAUUACUGCUGGUCGCAUGGCUGGUGGUGGAAAGUUUUUCGGUUUGGGAUGGACUCGCGGCCUAUCAGCUUGUUGGUGAGGUAAUGGCUCACCAAGGCGAGGACGGGUAGCCGGCCUGAGAGGGCGACCGGCCACACUGGGACUGAGACACGGCCCAGACUCCUACGGGAGGCAGCAGUGGGGAAUAUUGCACAAUGGGCGGAAGCCUGAUGCAGCGACGCCGCGUGAGGGAUGACGGCC
Molecule: ribosomal RNA, 300 nt
Filed under: uncultured Actinoplanes sp.
Lineage: Bacteria; Bacillati; Actinomycetota; Actinomycetes; Micromonosporales; Micromonosporaceae
Description: bacterial SSU rRNA
Rfam family: Bacterial small subunit ribosomal RNA
Source: RNAcentral